Molecule: long non-coding RNA, 3624 nt
Filed under: Nicotiana tabacum (common tobacco)
Lineage: Eukaryota; Viridiplantae; Streptophyta; Magnoliopsida; Solanales; Solanaceae
Description: long non-coding RNA (NTAB_LNC009451)
Source: RNAcentral
AGCGCCGCAACAUGACCCUCCCUCCACAAUUUGAUCAUUUUCUAAAAAGAUCUAAGACAAAAGCAACGGCUGAGAAUGAAAAUGAGACCUCGACGAGCUUCUUCUUCAUGAAGCUCUAAGAGCUAACGCCUAUAGAGAAAAGGAGAUCCACUGUUGUUGAUGAUACACAGACCCCUCCCCUCUCCUUCAUCUUCAUCAACAGCUAGAGGACUUAACAAAAAAACCUAGAAGAAUCCAUCGACAGACCUAAGUAGUGAAAUCACUGCUGCAGCUGUUGACCCCUCCACCACUCUCACACCGUGAACAACACACAACACACAAGCAACCACCCCCAAAUCUUCCGCCACCAACUGACCGAUAUCCAGUAGAAACAGUGACAAGCUCGCCGGAAAACGAGUUGAAAAGACAACCAGCGGCUGCUUAUCCACCUCGUCGAUUAACAACCUUUCAGCCUUUCCUUCUUCUUUGAACCCAGAUACACACAACCAUCUUCAUAUUCUUCUACACACCAAACUCGGCAAAAACUUUGAGUAGAAACUGAUAUGAGUGUGAUCUGAAUGGUUGUUCGAGGUUCCGUCGCGUUCGUGUCCCUGUUGGCAUCUUUGUUCGCUGCUCAAUUCUUUGGUCAGAUUCUCGUUUGCUUCUCGGCUGAAUAGAAAUGUAAACUCAGAACUCCAUUAAUCAGAAAGUUAUAGCUCUUUGAGGUCCAUGCUUUCUUAUCCUUUGUUUCAGUUUCACAGCAAAAAUGUCUCUGCCUGCUUUCAUGUUUUUUUUUAAUUGAUGAAUAUGCUUGGUUUCCUUUAUUAGCUUAAUGCACUUAAAUGAUAGAAUUGGAAUAUUGGAUCAUCUGCUUGUUUGAAUUAUUUUAAAGAAUUUUUUUAAUUAAUAUCCUUGGGUUAACAUUGAUAUGGUGCUAGGUUCCUUGAUAUACGGAAUAGGUGUGCACUUUGGAUUGAUUUAAGUAGUUAAGAGAUUAAUGGAAAUCAGUUAAAGUUUACAUUCUUCUGUUGUUGGAGUGUUGGGACAUGAGAAUUGAUUCAAAAAGUAGAUUUGGAAUUUUUGACGGAACUUUGCUGUAUUAAUCUUAGAAAAACUUUUCGUGCUCGCAUUCUUGUUUGUUUAACUGUCCUCGUUGCAUGCUUUAGGCUUGAUUAACAAUAAAUAAAUCGUAACUACAGGUACGGUUCCCGUAGCGUAGUUGUGACAUCUACUUACUUUUAAAUAUGAAUAUCCAUAGUUCUUUUAAUUGAAUGCAUUUCCUUUGAAAGAAAUUGAGGCGCACCAUUCACACAAUUGAAUCAUUUAACCCAUGUCCCUCGUGUUAAUUUCAUAGCCUAGAUAUAAAAAUGACAAAUGUUCGUAGUUUGUUUUAGGCACGUUAAUAUACUAUUGUGGUUGUGGACACGUUCGCGUGACAUGAUUACGGUUUCUAAAAACAAAACUGGAAUAUAUGUUCGUGCAACUUCAGCCGCACUUUCUUAAUAAUAAUAAAGCAUUACUAAUUGUGGACAUGUUCGCGUGACAUGAUUUUUGACGCGCCAUUUAAAUGAGUACACGUACGUGUGACUCGUUUCAAGAUAAUUUCUCAAUUAAAAAAGGCAAAUGCACAUAGGUUCUAAAGUAAGUAAUUAGACAAUUUAAUAAGCCAAAUAUGAUCAAAGCGACAGUACUAGAACCACAAAACUCGGGAAUGCCUAACACCUUCUCCCGAGUUAACAGAAUUCCUUACCCGAAUUUCUAUGUUCGCAGACCGUAAAUAAGAGUUAACUUCCUCGAUUCGAAAUUUUAAACUGGUGACUUGGGACACUAUAAAUUAUCACAAGUGGCGACUCUGAUUUUAAUAAAAUAAUUCCGUUUCGAUUGUCACUUAAAUUAGAAAAAACUCCCUUAUACUCCUUCCGGGGGUAGAAAAAGGAGGUGUGACAGUUGGGUCCGUAGAAAAAUAUGGAACUUGGGCGUAUGCCCGGAAUUGAAUUCCGAGGUCUCUAGCCCGAGAAAUGAAUUUUUGACGAAAAUUAUUUAACUGAAAAUAUAAUGGUUUUUAAAAAUUUAAUAAUGUUUGAAUUUGAUGGUAUCGGGUCCGUAUCUUGGUUCCGGAGCCCGGUACAGGUUUAAUAUUGUAUUUAAGUUAUGUUUGUAAAAUUUGGUAAGAGACAGAGUUUAUAUGACGUGAUUCGGAACCUCGGUUGUGAAAAUAUAAACUUUAAAGAGUUCUUGAGAUUUUCACUGAUUUUGAUGCUAAAUUCGCUGUUUGAGACGUUAUUUUGGCGAUUUGAUCGCACGAACAAGUCCGAGAGCUCGGGUGAAUUUUGGAUAGGCCACUGAGUGUUUUGAACCUUAUGGAAAAAUUGAUGGUAUUGCAGGUCUGCAAACUUCGCAUUUGCAAAGUUUAUAGUCGCAAAUGCGAUAAGAGCACAGGCCACAAUUGCGAACAUUGGUUUGCAUUUGUGAAGGCAGCAGGUCAGGCCAAUCUUCGCAUUUGCGAAGCAUUGGUCGCAUUUGCGAAUUCGCAAUUGCGAACUUGUGAUCGCAAAUGCGAUACAUGCAACUGCUCAAAAACAGAUUUUGACGGGAUUUCAACUCAUUCUUUCAAAUUUUCAAACUCUAAACUCCCAUAUGCGAUUUUCCAAUGAAAAGUUCUUUACCAAAUCAUAGGAAAACAAUUUCUAACUCAUUUCUUUCAAUCUGCUUCAUCAAUUUACAAGAUUUCAUCACAAAAUCUAGGGAUUUUCAUGGGAAAUUGGGUGUUUUUGAGUGAAAUUGAAAAUUUUGAAAUUUGGGGAUUUGGACCUCAAAUUAAGGUCGAAUUCUAAAACCAAUUAUAUAUCAGGGCUCAGGGGUAAAUGGGUAAUCAGGUUUUGGUCCGAACUUCGGGUUUUGACCAAGCGGGCUCGGGGUCGAUUUUUGACUUCUUGGGAAAAAUGUUGAGAAACAUAUAAUUAAGCAUUGAAUUUGAGUUCUUUAGCAUUUAUUGAUGUUAUUAAGUUAAUUAUGACUAGAUAUAAGUGAAUUGGAGGUGAAAUCUAGAGGGAAAGCAAUAUUUGAAGCUUGAUUUUGGCCGUGGAAUAGAGGUAAGUGUUUGGCCUAACCUAAACUUGAGGGAAUAGACGUUGUUGUCUUAUUUGCUACGCGUUAGUGUUGAGUACGACGUAUAGGUGUGAUGACGAGUAUCUACACGUUGGUGUCGAGCAUGCCCAUGAGUCUUAUACUGUGACUGUUGUGACUCUUAUUAUAUACUGUCCAUGCUUAAAUUGAUGAUUAUCCAUGUUGAACAAGACUUAUGAUAAUUUCUUGGUAAUUGACAAUUUUUGAGUAUUAACUCAAGUUAGAGAUUUAUUUUGUGAAGUUAACUGCUGGAACGAGAUUGGUUAUAGCUGAUUCCCUUGCCAUGAUGUAUUUGUUUCAAUUGUUGAUUCCUUUGUCGGGAUGUUGUUGUUUCUACUUUGUUUCAAUUGUUGAUUCCUUUGUCGGGAUGUUGUUGUUUCUACUGUUUGGGUGAGGAAAGAGUGAUAAAGCACGAAGGGUAAUACCAACUCUUUCCUUGAAAUACUUGUCUAGUUACUUCUACUGACGAAUUUCGUGGAACAACAGGCAAAUAGAAGCAAAGACAUAUUGACACUCCAA